GUCGAGAAUCUUCCGCAAUGCGCGAAAGCGUGACGGAGCGACACCGCGUGAUGGAUGAAGUCCUUCGGGGCGUAAACAUCUUUUAUAAAGGAGGAAAUUUUUGACGUUACUUUAUGAAUAAGGGGCUCCCAAUCUCGUGCCAGCAGGAGCGGUAAUACGAGAGCCUCAAGCGUUAUCCGGAAUCAUUGGGCGUAAAGGGUGCGUAGGUGGUUUGAUUAGUCUCCCGUUAAAACUUCGAGCUUAACUCGAAAAGAGCGGGGGAAACGGUCAAACUAGAGUAUGUGAGAGGUGUGUGGAACUCAUGGUGUAGGGGUGAAAUCCGUUGAUAUUCGGAAGAACACCAGUGGCGAAGGCGACAUACUGGCUCAUUACUGACGCUGAGGUGCGAAAGCGUGGGGAGCAAACAGGAUUAGAUACCCCAGUAGUCC
RNAcentral lists this ribosomal RNA (428 nucleotides) under uncultured bacterium. Its description in RNAcentral is "partial 16S ribosomal RNA". It matches the Rfam family "Bacterial small subunit ribosomal RNA", at positions 354 to 796 of the family's 1533-position model. The record is from RNAcentral.